UAGGGAAUAUUGGACAAUGGGCGCAAGCCUGAUCCAGCCAUGCCGCGUGAGUGAAGAAGGCCCUCGGGUUGUAAAGCUCUUUUGUCCGGAAAGAAAAGCAUCGGGCUAAUACCCUGGUGUUCUGACGGUACCGGAAGAAUAAGCACCGGCUAACUUCGUGCCAGCAGCCGCGGUAAUACGAAGGGUGCAAGCGUUACUCGGAAUUACUGGGCGUAAAGCGUGCGUAGGUGGUUUGUUAAGUCUGAUGUGAAAGCCCUGGGCUCAACCUGGGAAUGGCAUUGGAAACUGGCGGACUCGAGUGCGGUAGAGGGGUGUGGAAUUCCCGGUGUAGCAGUGAAAUGCGUAGAGAUCGGGAGGAACACCAGUGGCGAAGGCGACACCCUGGACCAGCACUGACACUGAGGCACGAAAGCGUGGGGAGCAAACAGGAUUAGAUACCCUGGUAGUCCACGCCCUAAACGAUGCGACUGGAUGUUGGUGCACUUGGCACUCAGUAUCGAAGCUAACGCGUUAAGUUCGCCGCCUGGGGAGUACGGUCGCAAGACUGAAACUCAAAUGAAUUGACGGGGUCAUAGC
This 576-nucleotide ribosomal RNA is filed under the name uncultured bacterium. Its description in RNAcentral is "partial 16S ribosomal RNA". It matches the Rfam family "Bacterial small subunit ribosomal RNA", at positions 355 to 925 of the family's 1533-position model. The record is from RNAcentral.